RNAcentral lists this ribosomal RNA (301 nucleotides) under uncultured bacterium. RNAcentral's name for it is "partial 16S ribosomal RNA". It matches the Rfam family "Bacterial small subunit ribosomal RNA", at positions 509 to 809 of the family's 1533-position model. The record is from RNAcentral.
CAGCCGCCGCGGGUAUACAUAGGGUGCGAGCGUUAAUCGGAUUUACUGGGCGUAAAGCGUGCGUAGGCGGCUAAUUGAGUCGGAUGUGAAAUCCCCGAGCUUAACUUGGGAAUUGCAUUCGAUACUGGUUAGCUAGAGUGUGGGAGAGGAUGGUAGAAUUCCAGGUGUAGCGGUGAAAUGCGUAGAGAUCUGGAGGAAUACCGAUGGCGAAGGCAGCCAUCUGGCCUAACACUGACGCUGAGGUACGAAAGCAUGGGGAGCAAACAGGAUUAGAUACCCCCGUAGUCCCUGUCUCUUAUAU